RNAcentral lists this non-coding RNA (27 nucleotides) under Homo sapiens (human). Lineage: Eukaryota; Metazoa; Chordata; Mammalia; Primates; Hominidae. The record is from RNAcentral.
GCCAACAGCAUGCUGGGUAACACUGUA